Dicentrarchus labrax (European seabass) is the source of this 2194-nucleotide RNA transcript. RefSeq lists it as uncharacterized. NCBI's taxonomy places the organism in Eukaryota, Metazoa, Chordata, Actinopteri, Moronidae. The transcript is spliced from 9 exons. The record is from RefSeq and is a predicted model, not a curated record.
UACACCUCAACUUGCACUGCAUUAUGUGGGUGCACACUGUAUCGGUUCACAUCUAUCCUCCUACGUUAGUGUCAACCUGUCAUAUGUUGAUCAACCUGUGAUCUUAAUCUUUGUGCUGCGACAAAAAAAGACCAUGUGUGAGUGGAAGAACCUUCCUCUUUGAACUUCCUUCCUGGAGCUCAGUGAUUUUAGCCUCCAUUACAGCAAGAUGAUCAUACACACAAUGAUGAGCUUUACUCUGAUGAUGAUACCAGCUUUAUUUCUCUGCAGCCUCAGCUGGAUCUCUGUCUCAGGUUCUGAGUCUCAGACUGUGGAGGUCCAGCCUGGUGAAGAUGUCACACUGCUGUGCUCCAACUUUUCCAGUUCUCCCACUCAGACAGUCUGGUUCACACUGGAAAGUGGGGGCACAAGAGGAUUUUCUGCAAGAAAUGUGAGGAGAUUUUGCGCUGAAAAUGGGUCAAGCUUGAUGGGACUCCCUGACGCACAUUUGGAGUUAGAGGUGGCAAAAGCUAUAACCGAGAUGGGACCUACAUAUGGAAGAAGGAUGAUAAAGGGGUAUCUCGCUAUGAAAGGAGUGCAUGCAGCAGAGACACGAAUUGGAUCAGUGCUCAGAACUAUGCAUCAGCCUUACCAUGAAGCAAGACGUCAGGGUGCCCGCAAUCUCAACCCCAUACCAUAUCAAGCUGACUACAUGGGUCACAAGGUUCAUAUGGACCAAAAUGAAAAACUGGCUAUGUUUGGGGUCACCCAUGUUUUAGCCAUUGAUUGCUUCCGCAAAAAGGCCUGCAGUACUUGCCUAUGGUAUGUGGGACCAGGUGUGAGUAGAUCAUGGCAAGGAGUUUUAUUUGACGCUCUUCAUGCAGGAGCAGCUGUCAUCUCAUCGCCAUAAUCAGGAGAGAAGGCCUUAUUUACAGACUUCAUCCACAAGGAACCAUAUAGUUGAACGAGUCUGGCCUGAGGUCAACAAUUGUGUCAAUUAUCCACUGAAGACAGCCCUUCUGCAGUUGGUGGAUCAAGAGGAACUAGACAUGGACGACAACCUUGUGAGAUACUGUGUGUCCAACCUGACUGGCCAGUUGUGCCAGAUUGGUCUCACAAGGAUGGUGGACUCAUGGAAUGCUCACCGAAUUCCAGGUAAAGGUAUACCAAAUGACUUGGCUGGCAGUGGGUGUCCCAAAAAAAUCCCACAGGAGCUGUUGCCUCAUUCAGCUGAAGCAGCAGACCUUCACGGACAACAGCUGGGAUCCUCACUGACAACACAUUCUGCUUUUGGAGUUGAUCCAUUUUCAACUGAACAGGACAAACUUACAGUCGAGAAUCAGUUUGCAGAGAAAUAUUCGACAUUUCAGACUUAAUGGACCGUAACAUAUAUAUUUUUCAUUAACCCACCAGAACGAAUUUACUUAUGACAAAUCUUUGUGCAAUUUCAGAACCACAUAGUUGAACGAGUCUGGCCUGAGGUCAACAAUCGUGUCAAUUAUCCACUGAAGACAGCCCUUCUGCAGUUGGUGGAUCAAGAGGAACUAGACAUGGACGACAACCUUGUGAGAUACUGUGUGUCCAACCUGACUGGCCAGUUGUGCCAGAUUGGUCUCACAAGGAUGGUGGACUCAUGGAAUGCUCACCGAAUUCCAGGUAAAGGUAUACCCAAUGACUUGGCUGGCAGUGGGUGUCCCAAAAAAAUCCCACAGGAGCUGUUGCCUCAUUCAGCUGAAGCAGCAGACCUUCACGGACAACAGCUGGGAUCCUCACUGACAACACAUUCUGCUUUUGGAGUUGAUCCAUUUUCAACUGAACAGGACAAACUUACAGUCGAGAAUCAGUUUGCAGAGAAAUAUUCAGACAUUUCAGACUAGUUCUCUAGAGCAGUGAACAAUGACUUUGCUCCAUACAAAGAGGCAUUGCUCUAUCUCAUAACCACAACUCAGCGCAAUGUGUGAAAGGCCAUUGCUCUGUUUGAACUUACAGAAUGUAAAUGAGUAACAAGAACUAUAAGUUGGUGGCAAUGGGUGUUUGUUAAAGACAAAUGUUAAUAUAACUAAACAGUGAUGUCAAUAAGAACAGUGCUCACAUUUUCAACUUCCUUCUUCACACCAAUAUGACAUCAUCUAGCCCAAACAUUUUAAGAAAUUCACAUCAAUAGUACAAGAACUCUAACCCAAAUUUUUGAAUUGAUAAAUAAACGCAAACACAA